RNAcentral lists this long non-coding RNA (870 nucleotides) under Malus domestica (apple). Its description in RNAcentral is "long non-coding RNA (MDOM_LNC013604)". Lineage: Eukaryota; Viridiplantae; Streptophyta; Magnoliopsida; Rosales; Rosaceae. The record is from RNAcentral.
UCCAACCCUUAUUGCCUAAUAUUUUAGCCCCACGAUUAUUAAAUAAUGAACUUAUGCUAAUUUUUUUCUUAAAUUAACUUUUUCAAAAAAUAUAUAUAGACUAUCAUAAAUUAAUUUUAUGAACAUUUUAAUCUAAAAACAUUUAAAUUUUGAUAAAUAUUGAAAAAUCACUAAAUUUUCCACAAAGCAAGCCUUCAACUUUCACCAAUCUUUCAACUUUCACCAAACUUUCAACUUUCAACAAUCAUAAAGUGCAUACUUUGUUGAUAAUCUUCCACCGAUCGUAAACACCACCAACGUCCCUCCCGUCGCCGUUGCAGUUUUCUUGAAACUUUGCAAUGAUUUUAUCCCACAAAACCUUUUUAUUUUGAUUUGUGCCAAUUGCACCAUCUUCGUUAAUAGAAACCCAUGUCAAACAUAAAGCAACAUCUUCCUCACAGGUCCAAUUACGACCUCUAAUAUGCUCUCUUGCCAUGUUGAACAAUUUGGAAAUGGAAAGAAAUGGUAGAAAGAUAAAUUGGAAGAAUUGUAGGAGAAAUUUGAGUUUUGUGUGGAUGUUUGAACAAAUACACAGGUAUUUAUAGAGUUUUUGGGUAAAUUUUGAUUUAAAUAAUUUCUUUUAAUUAUUUUAGCCGUUGGAUUUAAAUUUGGGCCGUUAAAUCUUUUUUUUACCGUUAGAUUUGAUUAUAUUCGAUAUCAGCCGUUGGAUUCAAUGUAUUUUAAAAUAACAUUUUUUUAAAAUAAAAUUUGAAUAUGGACCAUUGGAUCAACCAACUGUCCUUAAAUUUCUGUUGUUGGAUGCGGAAAAGAGUCGUUAGGCUCAAGGAUGUGGUCGACAACGGCCAUGACAGUGUGCCCCUUGCUGUCAGG